AUUCAACUGACGAGUCCCAAAUAGAACGGAACGCACGUCUUUAAAU
Molecule: non-coding RNA, 46 nt
Filed under: Schistosoma mansoni
Lineage: Eukaryota; Metazoa; Platyhelminthes; Trematoda; Strigeidida; Schistosomatidae
Source: RNAcentral